GCCUAUGUAGCUUAGUUGGUAGAGCACUCCCUUGGUAAGGGAAAGGUCUCUGGUUCAAGUCCAGUCAUGGGCA
RNAcentral lists this transfer RNA (73 nucleotides) under Scherffelia dubia. RNAcentral describes it as "tRNA-Thr". It matches the Rfam family "tRNA". Rfam says of the family: Transfer RNA (tRNA) molecules are approximately 80 nucleotides in length. Their secondary structure includes four short double-helical elements and three loops (D, anti-codon, and T loops). Further hydrogen bonds mediate the characteristic L-shaped molecular structure. tRNAs have two regions of fundamental functional importance: the anti-codon, which is responsible for specific mRNA codon recognition, and the 3' end, to which the tRNAs corresponding amino acid is attached (by aminoacyl-tRNA synthetases). tRNAs cope with the degeneracy of the genetic code in two manners: having more than one tRNA (with a specific anti-codon) for a particular amino acid; and 'wobble' base-pairing, i.e. permitting non-standard base-pairing at the 3rd anti-codon position. Lineage: Eukaryota; Viridiplantae; Chlorophyta; Chlorodendrophyceae; Chlorodendrales; Chlorodendraceae. The record is from RNAcentral.